CCAAUAGCGUAUAUUAAAGUUGUUGCAGUUAAAAAGCUCGUAGUUGAAUUUCGGGAUCAGAUUGUCGGUCGUGCCUCGGUACGCACUGGCACUAUUGGUUCCUACCUUCUGAAGAACCGCGAUGUCAUUAAUUUGGUGUCGUGGGGAAUCAGGACUGUUACUUUGAAAAAAUUAGAGUGUUUAAAGCAGGCGCACGCUUG
This 200-nucleotide ribosomal RNA is filed under the name uncultured Glomus. Its description in RNAcentral is "partial small subunit ribosomal RNA". It matches the Rfam family "Eukaryotic small subunit ribosomal RNA", at positions 591 to 797 of the family's 1831-position model. Lineage: Eukaryota; Fungi; Glomeromycota; Glomeromycetes; Glomerales; Glomeraceae. The record is from RNAcentral.